RNAcentral lists this ribosomal RNA (404 nucleotides) under Bacillota bacterium. RNAcentral describes it as "Firmicutes bacterium partial 16S ribosomal RNA". It matches the Rfam family "Bacterial small subunit ribosomal RNA", at positions 355 to 776 of the family's 1533-position model. Lineage: Bacteria; Bacillati; Bacillota. The record is from RNAcentral.
UGGGGAAUAUUGGACAAUGGGCGCAAGCCUGAUCCAGCCAUGCCGCGUGGGUGAAGAAGGCCCUAGGGUUGUAAACCCCUUUCAGCGGGGAAGAUAAUGACGGUACCCGCAGAAGAAGCCCCGGCUAACUCCGUGCCAGCAGCCGCGGUAAUACGGAGGGGGCUAGCGUUGUUCGGAAUUACUGGGCGUAAAGCGCGCGUAGGCGGACCUGCAAGUCGGGGGUGAAAGCCCGAGGCUCAACCUCGGAACUGCCUUCGAUACUGCGGGUCUCGAGUCCGGGAGAGGUGAGUGGAAUUCCUAGUGUAGAGGUGAAAUUCGUAGAUAUUAGGAAGAACACCAGUGGCGAAGGCGGCUCACUGGCCCGGUACUGACGCGGAGGCGCGAAAGCGUGGGGAGCAAACAGG